CGGAGGAUGCAAGCGUUAUCCGGAUUCAUUGGGUUUAAAGGGUGCGUAGGCGGACUUGUAAGUCAGGGGUGAAAUCCGGCAGCUCAACUGUCGAACUGCCUCUGAUACUGCAGGUCUUGAGUCAACAUGAAGCAGGCGGGAUAUGACAUGUAGCGGUGAAAUGCAUAGAUAUGUCAUAGAACACCGAUAGCGAAGGCAGCCUGCUAAAGUUGUACUGACGCUGAUGCACGAAAGCGUGGGUAGCGAACAGGAUUAGAUACCCUGGUAGUCCACGCCGUAAACGAUGAUCACUCGCUGCAUGCGAUAGACAGUAUGUGGCCAAGCGAAAGCGUUAAGUGAUCCACCUGGGGAAUACGAUCGCAAGGUUG
Molecule: ribosomal RNA, 368 nt
Filed under: uncultured organism
Description: bacterial SSU rRNA
Rfam family: Bacterial small subunit ribosomal RNA
Source: RNAcentral